AUUCAUUCUCAUUUUUUUUCAUCCCAAAAGUCGUGCCCUCCAUAGCCAAGGAGUCCAAGCUUUCAUCUUCAAAUUUUAGCUCCGUUUAUCAACGUAAUGAAUAUCCGAUCGCACAACCGGUGUUAGAUCAAGGCGAAGGAACCUAUAGUGCGUUUUGGAGACAAAGGAGUGAACCUAGAAGGGGAGAAGUAUCAAGGUGAAAUAUGCUUAUGUUCAUAAGCCUAAGAGGUUAGAGUUGAUAGUAUGUCAAGUGUGGUUGGGCAGCUUUGCAAUUUUUGGCAGGUCACUGGGGGUCAACAUGGUUAAAAAUCGUGGCAUAUUGUAUAAUAGUUCAAUCUUUGAUCUUCCGCUGGAUAAAUGUUAAGUUUUAAAAUGUUAAUAGAUUUUAAUUGUGCUUUUUAAGCUAAAAAGAAAAUAGGAAAAUUUCAGUACGGGUUGUCGAUACUGAAACAUGACAUCACGUAUUCGGUGGGUUUACCUACCGGGUAAGGGGUGUUAUAGUGGAGCAGUUGGAUCAUCUGAUGAUGGUGUUGAGGGAUUUAAAAACCACGUGUUAUGAGUCUCACUGAGCUUGAGGCCAACUGCAACUCUCCGGCCUUUGUGGAGCGUUUGUUCUUCUUUGAGGUGUUUUUCGACUCGCUGGAGUGCUGUUUCAGGCAUGACGAGACGAGCAGGGCGGAGGCAGAGUCGUGCCGGUUCAGGUCGUGCAUUAGGAACGUCCUCGUGGAUGAUGGGGAUGAGAGAAAGUUUAGCAUAUGGGUAUAAGUGUGUGGAGGGCGUUUUUUGCUCGGUAUGAGUUGGCGGAGGUUGAGCUGAGCGCAUCGGCCGUGAACAAGGCGUACCUCGGGCUACAGAUGCAGAUUGUUCCCUCGGCCAUAUCCACAAUUGUUUUUGCGUUCUUAAGAAUUGUCUCCCUAAAAGUAUCCCACUAUAUUCCCUAGCUUCAGGCUCACUCAUGUGUAUCACAUAGAAAUCAACUAGGUAUAAGAAAUCAUGCACCUUGACUAA
This is a long non-coding RNA of Salvia splendens (bonfire salvia), 1008 nucleotides long. RefSeq lists it as uncharacterized. NCBI's taxonomy places the organism in Eukaryota, Viridiplantae, Streptophyta, Magnoliopsida, Lamiales, Lamiaceae. The transcript is spliced from 3 exons. The record is from RefSeq and is a predicted model, not a curated record.